GAUUAAAUGAACUGUCCCCCCAGUUCUUGCUGUCGACAUCUUUGACAAGUUCAACUUCACGGGAGCCAGAGUCCCAUGGUUCGACGCCAUUCAUGAAGAAUUCCCCAGGGAGCUGGAGUCCUCCAUCUCCUUCCCAGCCAACUUCUUCAAACCACCUGAAGAAAAAGAAGGCCCCCUGGUAAGGCCAGCCAGCCGGAGGACCACCCCGCAGACCACACGCCCAGGGCCUGGCACCGAGGGGGAGGCCCCGAUCAGCAGGUGAAAGCGACACCCUGAUGACACUGGCUAGUUCACCUUCACUCUGGUCAUCGUUUACUGUACCCCGGGGCAGCUCCCGCCUGAGCCCUAUGACCCCAACCGCCGCAGCCUCUGGCUGCCUCACUGGCCCAUCAUUAAUACGUCGAUGGUGAGCGCACUGGUGUACAGCGAGGGGGCUCCACUUCCGAGACCCCUGGAGAGGCCCGUCCUGGUGGAGUUCACCCUGCUGGAGAUGGAGAAGCGAACCAAGCCUGUCUGUGUGUUCUGGAACCAUUCCCUGGCGUAAAUGUGAUGCCGGGAGUUCUGCAUCUUCAUGUGAGGGCUUUGCCAAGACACAGAGAACCCGCAGGGUUGUUGGCUCAGCGGCAGAUCGUCCCACGGGGACAGUCUCUUGUGGUCUGUGUCUCCCCCUUCAGCCCCCUGUGGGGCAGUGAGCCUCCUGCUCUGCUUCUGUGGGUGCAUCAGAGCCCCCCCAGAUGCCCACACGCAGACGCGCACAGGCCUGCACGUGGAAACACAGACAUGCGCACACGCAGGCCCACACACAGACGCACACAGAGCUGCACGUGGAGACACGUGCGCACACGCAGGCCCACACGCAGGCCCACACACAGGUGCACGCGGACCUGCACGUGGAGACACAGAUGUGUGCACAUGCAGGCCCACACACAGGUGAGCGUGGACCUGUGUGAACAGAUGCGCGCAGACCUGCACGUGGAGACACAGACAUGCAGGCGCACAAAGAGAUCCCUCAAGGCUGACACCCAGGAAGGGGCCUCUCACUUGUGGGACUCCCGAGAUGCAGUGGCCAACACGAGUGUAGUGCCCAGUUCACUGCUGGAUAAGACAGAGGCCUGUUCUGGUCACACAUGGGAGGCAGAACCCAGAGACUGGGCCCAGGAGCCCUUCUGCUGACAGUGGGAACUCCCAGCUACGUGUGGGGGUCCCCAUACCAGACAAAGGUCCCUGACCUUAGUCUUGCCCGAGAGGCCGACACAGCCCAGCUUUGGGGUCUGGCUUUACCCACAAGAGGCCACACCUUGCCACAGCACUGUUUAUCUGGCCUGUUUCAGAAGCACCGUCAGAGUGGCGAAGGCAGGAGGUGGUGCACGAGAGUCUACGUUCUAGCAUCCAUUCAAGUGAGGGAAAGGCGUUUCGUACUUAGAAAAAUGCAAAAUUAAUGAUUCUCACCCACACAUGAGACUGUGGAUUCACCCAUGUAUGAGAUAGUGGAUUCAGAGCCAUGCUGUGGCUCUCAUCUGCUGGGAGCCAGUAGUGUUUGUGCUUUGGUUUUGCUUUUUUAGCUACAUGGUUUAUGUGAGGUGCGGACUUACUUGAGUUGCUCUGUCUUUACAGGGAGCUUGCUUUUUCUCUGCUGGUUUGUUUUCACUUUUGCUGUCUCUGUUUAGAAGAAAACAUUAGAACUGGGGUGUGGUGGAAGGAUGGGAGCACAAUCUGGGAGGGGAAGACCUGCUCUCUCUCCACAUACCAGGAGGGAGUGGCAGGAAGGGGAGACACUGUGCCGGACUCAGGGAGUCAAGAGCGUGAGCACCCCCAGGCUUCAAUCUGCUGAACGUUGUGCAUCUGGGGGCGCCCGUGCAGCAGGAACACUCUCCCCAUCACAAUUCCUCUGGGCACAGUGGAGAGCCAUGAGUGGGGGCUGUCCUGGGGGCUGCGCUAUGGUGAGUGAGCCCACGCCAGGAGCCAGUUCAGCCCAGCCUCAUUCUUCUCCUGCUUCUUUGCUUUCCAAGUUCUAGUUCAUAAGCAACCAGCACAGUACCUGGAAUGUAAGAGGCGCUUGGCUUAUAAAAGAGAGAAGAAAGGAACCCCUUUCACCACGAGGGACGUCAGGCCCAGCUCUCUGUCCCGGGCAUUCAUCUUUUUUCCGGCAAUUAGCUUCAGCUCUAAUGACCUGCUGUCUGCUUUAUGUUGCACCUAUGAUUUCCAGAUUGUAAAGUUUGUGGCAAAUGUAUUAACGUUCACAUCCCAUUUACAGAUUAGCAAACUAAGGAUCUGAGAGGUUAUGUGAUUUUCCCAGUCUGGCGGAGGGCAGGGCCCUGUCAGAAGCCGAGACACACCUCGUAACAGCUUGUUAUUUGGGGCUUCCCAUCAGUGAGGCAGGAGUCAUAAUGGGGCCCUGGCUUCUGGGCAAUUCCCAUAAAACAUUGUGCCACCUGAAGAUGGAAGUGUCAGAGGAAGGCGAGAUGUUAUUUCUGAAAGCAUCUACCCUCAGAAAGAGACAGAGGAGUGCAUCGCAGCUGUGUGAACCCGGGGUGGUGGUGGUUCCAGCAGCGGGGCACGUGGUGGACGCAAGACGGCCCCGUUUGAGUUUUGCUGCUAGGUGACAUGUAGAACUUGAACUUCAGAGGGUGCUCCUUGGAGGCCCUGAUGAGAGAGACACAGAAGGGAAGGGAGACUGUUCCCAUGGUCCUGCCUCUGCGGCAGCGAGCCUGCUGCUCUUGCAGCUGGGUGGCUGUUCGGUGCAGGGGGCCGGUGAGGAACACGGUGGGGAGCAGCCUGCGAGGGCGCCGGGCUUUCAGCACUCACUAUACCUGCUGUUUGGUUUGGCCAGGAUGGCCUGGGAGUCCCCAGGGCCGGGCAAAGACUGCCCCCAACAGACAUGGGCGGAGGGAACCGUCUCACCCCUGCCUCUUCUCCCUUCUCUACGCAGUGUCAGUGGGACGGGAGGGUGGUCUGCCCGGGGCUUCAAGCUCCUGUCCAGGAACCGGACCCAUGUCGUACGCCAGUGCAGCCACACGGCCAGCUUCGAGGUGCUCAUGGACGUCUCCAGGUGUGAGAUGGGCAUCUUCUUGUGGCCACUAUGCCCGCUGAGCCUACCCCCAAACCUGCCCCUCCUCAAACUAAAUCUUCCAUUCUAAGCGCUUUGAACGAAGCAAAUCAACCAAUUAAAAAAAUAUAUUCCAGGAUUGGCCAGAGUCUGUGAAGAUUUCCAUAACAAAUCCCCGUUACAAGGGUUUUCAGAGAGCCCUGGUUGUGCAUUAAACCCCGCGAUGGCAAACCCAAAGCUCAGGCUCUGAGGAGCUCUUGGAGUCUGCCCCUCGCUUCAGAGAUGGUCUGUGCGAGGGUGCCGCUCUCCUCCCGCUUUGAUCAUAAGGAAGGUGACAGCUGCUGGGGACGGUAGGCACUCUCCCUCAGGGCCACAAGCUGGGCUGCAGGAUAAAAGACUGGGCGGCUAAUGUUUAACCUCUGGCAUUUUAAGCGGCCUGGGAGUGUGAGCCGGCCAUUGUGGGCCUGCAGAUGAACUGGGGAGUGGCCCGAGUGCUGUCCUCGGCAGGACAGUGCUAUCCAGCCAGGAAGUGGGUGGCAGCCAGCCUGGGAGUGGCCUAUGUGGGACCCUCCUGUCUAGGAGUCAGAGCCAGAGGCCUGGGUGGCCUCCCCUGGCCCCUCCCCAGGGCUGCGCUGUAGCUCAAGGGCCCAGGCCACCAUCCUUCCCGAGGGCUUUCUGAUGUGAAGUGGCCCUGGUUUCUGUCACAGUCUUGGAAGGGUGAGUCAGCCCUGGGGCAGGGCUGGAGGAGGGCUGUGGCUUCCUGUACAAUGUGCGGGGGAAGCUGUCCCACCUGUGCCCCCAUCUCAUGGGCAAAUGGCACUCCCCAGCAGGACCCAGCCUGGAGAGGGGUUCAGUGAUUAGUGGACUUUGUUCAUAGAAGGGCAGGGUUGGGGGUUGUCUCGUGGCCAGGACGCCGGGCAACAUGUGGGCCAAGGAAGCUGAAAUUGAGGCGGAAGGAAGGAGGCUGGAGUGGGAGUCCGAGGCUCCCAUGGCCUGGGUGCCCCAAAGUUAGCGGUCUCUGAACAGCCCUGAACCAGUGGAGGGAGACUGGGGUGCUGCUCCUGGCCCCAGGGAUGUCCAGGGCCCGGGCAUUGAAGGGACCUCAGAAGGGGCAGUUCCAGGCCCAGGGCUGUGAGCACUCGGCCUCCCCAACCCAGCCAGGUCUUGGCUUCCCAGCUCCUAGUUCCACAUGGUAAGCAACGCCUUCCAGAAGUUACCAGAGAACCAGAGCUUGUUGUUCCCCAAAUGCAGAAACUCCCCAGGGACCUGGGUCCUGGGCAAGUGUCCUGGUUUGUAAAAGCACAGGAAACACAGCAAUGUGAACCUACACACUGCUGAACUGUACGCUUCAAAGUGUCCAAGAUGAUAUGUUUUAUGUCAUGUAUAUUUUAGCACAAUUUUCCUUUUUUUGUUUUUUGACACAGUUUUGCUCUUUUCGCCCAGGCUGGAGUGCAGUGGUGAAACCUUGGCUCACUGCAACCUCUGCCUCCUGUAUUCAAGUGAUUCUCUUGUCUUAGCCUUCCAAGCAGCUGGGAUUACAGGCUG
Molecule: long non-coding RNA, 4591 nt
Filed under: Homo sapiens (human)
Lineage: Eukaryota; Metazoa; Chordata; Mammalia; Primates; Hominidae
Description: non-protein coding lnc-DGCR6-6:18
Source: RNAcentral